RNAcentral lists this long non-coding RNA (362 nucleotides) under Ananas comosus (pineapple). Its description in RNAcentral is "long non-coding RNA (ACOM_LNC031510)". Lineage: Eukaryota; Viridiplantae; Streptophyta; Magnoliopsida; Poales; Bromeliaceae. The record is from RNAcentral.
UAGUUGGAACGCUAUAGAGGUGUGUAGAGCGCUCGAGUGUAGGUACUCGUAGGGUAUGGAUGAGAAUCAGCCGGGUGAGUGUUGGCAGUAGCACUGCAGCGUUGCUAAGUGUGAAGCGGGCCAUGGAUCACCCGUGGGGCUGGUGGCUUGCGUUGUUAAGGAUUUUAUUAAGUUGGUGACUUUCGUGAAGUUUUGGACGGAGUCUCGAAGAGUUAGAAGACGAAGUUUGAAGUAAGAAUUGGAGUUUGGCGAUCAAAGACUUUUGUCAGAUUUUUGGGAUCUCAGGUAUGAUUAUAAAUAAUUUGUGGUGAGAUUUUAUGGUUAAAAGAUGUUUAGAAGACUUAGAUUCUAUUUUUGUUGAU